This 544-nucleotide ribosomal RNA is filed under the name uncultured Glomeromycotina. RNAcentral's name for it is "SSU rRNA". It matches the Rfam family "Eukaryotic small subunit ribosomal RNA", at positions 548 to 1098 of the family's 1831-position model. Lineage: Eukaryota; Fungi; Glomeromycota. The record is from RNAcentral.
UUGGAGGGCAAGUCUGGUGCCAGCAGCCGCGGUAAUUCCAGCUCCAAUAGCGUAUAUUAAAGUUGUUGCAGUUAAAAAGCUCGUAGUUGAAUUUCGGGGUUCUACCGUUGGUCGGGCUUUGUCUGUACUGGUGUGUAGAAUUUCUACCUUCUGGGGAACCAUCAUGCUAUUAAUUUAGCGUGGUGGGAAACCAGGACCUUUACCUUGAAAAAAUUAGUGUGUUCAAAGCAGGCUUAUGUCUGAAUACAUUAGCGUGGGAUAAUAGAAUAGGACGGUGGUCCUGUUUUGUUGGUUUCUGAAUCACCGUAAUGAUUAAUAGGGAUAGUUGGGGGCAUUAGUAUUCAAUUGUCAGAGGUGAAAUUCUUGGAUUUAUUGAAGACUAACUUCUGCGAAAGCAUUUGCCAAGGAUGUUUUCAUUAAUCAAGAACGAAAGUUAGGGGAUCGAAGACGAUCAGAUACCGUCGUAGUCUUAACCAUAAACUAUGCCGACUAGGGAUCGGACGAUGUUAGUUUUUCUUGACUCGUUCGGCGCCUUACGGGAAAC